UUUGGGUUGUGGAUAGGAGUGAAAGGCUAAUCAAGCUUGGAGAUAGCUGGUUCUCCGCGAAAGCUAUUUAGGUAGCGCCUCGUGUAUGACUCUUGGGGGUAGAGCACUGUUUCGGCUAGGGGAUCCUUAGGAUCUACCAAACCGUGGCAAACUCCGAAUACCAAGAAGUUCUAGCACGGGAGACACACGGCGGGUGAUAAGGUCCGCCGUGAAGAGGGAAACAGCCCAGAUCGCCAGCUAAGGUCCCUAAAUCAUAGUUAAGUGGGAAACGAUGUGGGAAGGCAUAGACAGCCAGGAGGUUGGCUUAGAAGCAGCCAUCCUUUAAAGAAAGCGUAAUAGCUCACUGGUCGAGUCGUCCUGCGCGGAAGAUGUAACGGGGCUAAAACUAUGUACCGAAGCUGCAAACUCUAGAUUUAUCUAGAGUGGUAGCGGAGCGUUCUGUAAGUCUGUGAAGGUAAAUCGGUGAGAUUUGCUAGAUAUCAGAAGUGCGAAUGCUGACAUGAGUAACGUUAAAGCGGGUGAAAAACCCGCUCGCCGAAAAUCCAAGGUUUCCUGCGCAACGUUAAUCGGCGCAGGGUGAGUCGGUCCCUAAGGCGAGGCCGAAAGGCGUAGUCGAUGGAAAACAGGUUAAUAUUCCUGUACUUUGUUAUAUUGCGAUGGAGAGACGGAGAAGGCUAGAUCAUCCACCGAUUGGUUGUGGUGGUUUAAGCAAGUAGGGGGAGUUCUUAGGUAAAUCCGGGAGCUCAUUACCCUGAGAUGCGAAUACGAAAUUGUCACUUGUGGCAAUUAAGUGAUCGAUGCCAUGCUUCCAAGAAAAUCUUCUAAGCUUCAGAUAUAACGGAACCGUACCCCAAACCGACACUGGUGGAUGGGUAGAGAAUACUUAGGCGCUUGAGAGAACUUGGGUGAAGGAACUAGGCAAAAUAGCACCGUAACUUCGGGAGAAGGUGCGCCCUCGGUAGGUGAAGGCCCUUGCGGCUGGAGCUGAAGAGGGUUGCAGUGACUAGGUGGCUGCGACUGUUUAUCAAAAACACAGCACUCUGCGAACACGUAAGUGGAAGUAUAGGGUGUGACGCCUGCCCGGUGCUGGAAGGUUAAUUGAUGGUGUUAGCUCUCGGGCGAAGCACUUGAUCGAAGCCCAGUAAACGGCGGCCGUAACUAUAACGGUCCUAAGGUAGCGAAAUUCCUUGUCGGGUAAGUUCCGACCUGCACGAAUGGCGUAACGAUGGCCACGCUGUAC
RNAcentral lists this ribosomal RNA (1240 nucleotides) under metagenome. RNAcentral's name for it is "bacterial LSU rRNA". It matches the Rfam family "Bacterial large subunit ribosomal RNA", at positions 803 to 2020 of the family's 2925-position model. The record is from RNAcentral.